ACGAACGCUGGCGGCGUGCUUAACCCCUGCAAGUCGCACGGAAAGGCCCUGCUUUUGUGGGGUGCUCGAGUGGCGAACGGGUGAGUAACACGUGAGUAACCUGCCCUUGACUUUGGGAUAACUUCAGGAAACUGGGGCUAAUACCGGAUAGGAGCUCCUGCUGCAUGGUGGGGGUUGGAAAGUUUCGGCGGUUGGGGAUGGACUCGCGGCUUAUCAACUUGUUGGUGGGGUAGUGGCUUACCAAGGCUUUGACGGGUAGCCGGCCUGAGAGGGUGACCGGCCACAUUGGGACUGAGAUACGGCCCAGACUCCUACGGGAGGCAGCAGUGGGGAAUAUUGCACAAUGGGCGGAAGCCUGAUGCAGCAACGCCGCGUGCGGGAUGACGGCCUUCGGGUUGUAAACCGCUUUCGCCUGUGACGAAGCGUGAGUGACGGUAAUGGGUAAAGAAGCACCGGCUAACUACGUG
This 467-nucleotide ribosomal RNA is filed under the name uncultured bacterium. RNAcentral describes it as "partial 16S ribosomal RNA". It matches the Rfam family "Bacterial small subunit ribosomal RNA", at positions 29 to 507 of the family's 1533-position model. The record is from RNAcentral.